Betta splendens (Siamese fighting fish) is the source of this 529-nucleotide long non-coding RNA. RefSeq lists it as uncharacterized. NCBI's taxonomy places the organism in Eukaryota, Metazoa, Chordata, Actinopteri, Anabantiformes, Osphronemidae. The transcript has 3 exons. The record is from RefSeq and is a predicted model, not a curated record.
CGGACCGGUGCCAGAAACACUGCCUCAGCAUUUAUACGUAUGUGCAUUUCAAACGAGGGUGCGUACAAUGCUGGAUUUGUUUCACGGCUCCUGUUGGAAAAAAAAGGACCUAUUCCUAAAGUCCGUCAUCCACUCACUGAAGAGGGCAAAUCCCAGUUGCCCACAUGCAAGGAGGCUGUCAAACAGAGAAAUCACUGCAGACUGUUGGUACACAGACAUCUGCUGCCCAGCUCAGGAGUAAAGGUGAUGGUGAGGACAGCCACAGCUUCCAUCUGGUAGAGGACUGCUUCCGCUCAGUCUUCCAAAUAGUGAUGAGAACAAGGAUCACCACAUCUCCCUGUUUACCCUACUUUCAUGCAUUUCGUCUGCAAGGCCCUGCAAAAGCUUCUCCUUCGCCCUCAAACCCCCAGACUUCUUAAUUAACUCAGUAACCUAUACAUUGCACAUUGGAGUGUGAAGGUAACAGUUUGUUCUAGCUUUGGAGUAGUGGUGUAUUUUUUUGGUUUACAAUAAAGUUGGCUUUAACUAU